GUUCAGGGAGGGAAAUCUUCUCUUGGUCUCCGUCACAGCAAGGUGAACUCGCUGCCAUCUAGGGACAGGGGAGACUUAAACGGUUCCCGAGGAUUUCGUGAUUCAGAGAGCUGCAGCCAUGGGACCUGAAAGUGUUUCCUGCUCCCUGUGUUUGGAACAGCUGAAAAGGUCGGAGCAGCCCUGCCCUCAGGGUGUCCUUCAGGAGCGGACUCCCCCGGGGCCCUCGUGUGGCUGCAGAGCCCCUGAGCCAGAGGGCCUUUGUUUCUGGGCAAGAUGUGGUUCUCUGGGUUUCCACUUCUUGGGGUCCACCCCCAGGCUCCCUCUCCUGGGCUCCUGCCACACACAGGCCGUCUGCGCUGCUUGCCCCAUCUGAAUGGCCACCAGCCAUGGGGCGGUGUUGGCCAAGUGCCCACCACGCAGGGGGCCUGGCUGGGCGGGCAGCAGCCUCGAGGCCUCUCGGCAGUGCAGGUGUAGACAUGAGGCCUGGUGGGAGGGUCACCUAGGGCUGGAUCAGGGAGGACACUGGCCCAGGGGACAGCAGUGUCACCUCCCUCUGCACACAGCCAGCCAGGGCUCCAACCCCUGCACUUCCCAGAUGGUGAGAACGAGGCUCGGCCUCCUGCAGGCGCCAGCAGGGGCACCUCCUGGCCUUCCCAGCCUCACCCCUCCUUUGGCCAGGUUUUCAUUUCUGUCCCCAGCCCCAGGCCCAGCGGCCACACCCCAGCUGACUCUUCCCCAGACUCUCCUGCGGCACCCGGACCUGCAUGGGGGCCCCAGGCCAUCAGACCUGCUCUGCCUCCCCCCAAGCUUCCUCCUUCCCGCCUGUGAGCUGGCCCCCAGCACCUGUCCACCACCAGCAGGCAGGCCCUGCUCCCUGAGACCCCCGCUGUCCCCACCUGCUCUCAGAACCACCUGCCUCUGGUCUCCACCUGCUGCCCACGCUCGGGUCCCUCCC
RNAcentral lists this long non-coding RNA (955 nucleotides) under Marmota monax (woodchuck). The record is from RNAcentral. Lineage: Eukaryota; Metazoa; Chordata; Mammalia; Rodentia; Sciuridae.